UACGUAGGGUGCGAGCGUUGUCCGGAAUUAUUGGGCGUAAAGAGCUCGUAGGCGGUCUGUCGCGUCUGCUGUGAAAUCCCGAGGCUCAACCUCGGGCUUGCAGUGGGUACGGGCAGGCUAGAGUGCGGUAGGGGAGAAUGGAACUCCUGGUGUAGCGGUGGAAUGCGCAGAUAUCAGGAAGAACACCGAUGGCGAAGGCAGUUCUCUGGGCCGCAACUGACGCUGAGACGCGAAAGCGUGGGGAGCAAACAGG
This 253-nucleotide ribosomal RNA is filed under the name uncultured bacterium. RNAcentral's name for it is "partial 16S ribosomal RNA". It matches the Rfam family "Bacterial small subunit ribosomal RNA", at positions 524 to 776 of the family's 1533-position model. The record is from RNAcentral.